Molecule: ribosomal RNA, 250 nt
Filed under: Phycisphaerales bacterium
Lineage: Bacteria; Pseudomonadati; Planctomycetota; Phycisphaerae; Phycisphaerales
Description: partial 16S ribosomal RNA
Rfam family: Bacterial small subunit ribosomal RNA
Source: RNAcentral
CAGUUCGGAUUGCAGGCUGCAACUCGCCUGCAUGAAGUUGGAAUCGCUAGUAAUCGCAGAUCAGCCAUGCUGCGGUGAAUGUGUUCCUGAGCCUUGUACACACCGCCCGUCAAGCCACCCAAAUGGUCCGCACCCGAAGUCGCUACCUUAACCAGCUUGCUGGAGAGGGGCGCCGAAGGUGAGGGUCGUGAGGGGGACUAAGUCGUAACAAGGUAGCCGUAGGGGAACCUGCGGCUGGAUCACCUCCUUU